GCUCUGAGGUGUUGAGUGAUAUUACCUAGGUCUUCUUGAGCCAUACACUGUCUUGAGAUCUUAUCCAUUGUAUCUUUUUUAUUUUUAAACUUUC
Molecule: long non-coding RNA, 94 nt
Organism: Notothenia coriiceps (black rockcod)
Lineage: Eukaryota; Metazoa; Chordata; Actinopteri; Perciformes; Nototheniidae
Exons: 3
Source: RefSeq, a predicted model, not a curated record